UGGCUUCCAGAAUUCUGAAGUCAAUGAAACAAACCAACAAAAAAAAGCAUUAUUUUUGAAUUUUCCAAACGGAUGAAAUAAUAUCUAUAAUCACAUGAGAUGACCAACGAAAACUGUAAAACAUACAAUUGGGUCAGGUUAAUAAACUUCCCCAAUCCUUUGGGAAUGUCUCCUGAUAAUCGAUUCGCACAAACAGAGCUACAAAGAUAAAUUCAGGUAAAUUUAGAAGCAUUCCUCACUUUCUUCACAAGAAACUCGAGAUAAAAGACUUACAUAGAUGUGAGGUAAGGCAGUGAGGCCCAUUCCAUAGGUAUUGAGCCAUAAAGAUAAUUACGGCACAAGUCACUGCACAAACAAG
Brassica rapa (field mustard) is the source of this 358-nucleotide long non-coding RNA. RefSeq lists it as uncharacterized. Lineage: Eukaryota; Viridiplantae; Streptophyta; Magnoliopsida; Brassicales; Brassicaceae. The record is from RefSeq and is a predicted model, not a curated record.